Molecule: non-coding RNA, 468 nt
Filed under: Pan troglodytes (chimpanzee)
Lineage: Eukaryota; Metazoa; Chordata; Mammalia; Primates; Hominidae
Also listed under: 1 other name
Source: RNAcentral
GGGCGGCCGCGGAGGAGGGGGCGACCACAAGAUGGCGGACCUCUCGCUGCUUCAGGAGGACCUGCAGGAGGACGCAGACGGAUCCCUGGACUUUGUCUCACAAGAUGAAAUGUUGACGCCCCUGGGGAGAUUGGACAAGUAUGCUGCAAGUGAGAACAUAUUUAACAGAACCAACUGUGAGAGCGGAGCUGAUGGAACAGGUGCCUCACAUCGCACUGUUUUGUCAAGAAAACCGGCCUUCAAUACCAUAUGCUUUUUCAAAAUUCUUACUACCUAUUGUGGUUAGAUACCUUGCAGAUCAGAAUAAUCAGGUGAGGAAAACAAGUCAGGCAGCUUUGCUGGCUCUGUUGGAGCAGGAGCUCAUUGAACGAUUUGAUGUGGAGACCAAAGUGUGCCCUGUCCUCAUAGAGCUGACAGCCCCAGAUAGCAAUGAUGAUGUGAAAACAGAAGCUGUGGCUGUAAGUCAAA